AGUGAACGCUGGCGGUAGGCCUAACACAUGCAAGUCGAACGGCAGCACAGUAAGAGCUUGCUCUUACGGGUGGCGAGUGGCGGACGGGUGAGGAAUACAUCGGAAUCUACUUUUUCGUGGGGGAUAACGUAGGGAAACUUACGCUAAUACCGCAUACGACCUACGGGUGAAAGCAGGGGAUCUUCGGACCUUGCGCGAUUGAAUGAGCCGAUGUCGGUUUAGCUUGUUGGCGGGGUACAGGCCCACCAGGGCGACGAUCCGUAGCUGGUGUGGGGGGAGGUACACCCACACUGGGACUGGAACACCGUCCAGAGUCCUACGGGAGGGAGCAGUGGGGAAUAUUGGACAAUGGGCGCAAGCCUGAUCCAGCCGUACCGCGUGGGUGAAGAAAGCCUUCGGGUUGGAAAGCCCUUUUGUUGGGAAAGAAAAGCAGCAGGUUAAUACCCCGCUGUUCUGACGGUACCCAAAGAAUAAGCACCGGCUAACUUCGUG
Molecule: ribosomal RNA, 492 nt
Filed under: uncultured bacterium
Lineage: Bacteria
Description: partial 16S ribosomal RNA
Rfam family: Bacterial small subunit ribosomal RNA
Source: RNAcentral